AUAAUAAGAGCAGCAUGUAUACUAAAAUUGGAAGGAUACAGAGAAGAUUAGCAUGGUCCCUGCACAAGAGUGACAUGCAAAUUUGUGAAGCGUUCCAUAUUUUU
This is a small nuclear RNA of Physeter macrocephalus (sperm whale), 104 nucleotides long. NCBI's taxonomy places the organism in Eukaryota, Metazoa, Chordata, Mammalia, Artiodactyla, Physeteridae. The record is from Ensembl.